CCAUUAUUUCAAUUUUCCUUUUCCCUAAUCCUCUUUAUCAAAGUUAAAUCAGAAAACCAACUUUUGGUCCUGGUAUCUGUAUUGCUCCAUCCUUACGGAAAAUUUUAAUAAAUAACAGAAGGACUAAAUGUAAAAUAAAAAGUGGUGAUAACACCAGUGAGAGUCAUAUAUAGGUGACAAUCUUCAAAAAGUCACUGUGCUUUUUAAAGCUUUAAGCUAAGGUCACUACAGAAACAACACUUUAAUGAAAAUUAAAAGCAAUUUUGCUAUAAUGUCAGUAAAA
RNAcentral lists this long non-coding RNA (283 nucleotides) under Bos taurus (domestic cattle). RNAcentral describes it as "long non-coding RNA NONBTAT009763". The record is from RNAcentral. Lineage: Eukaryota; Metazoa; Chordata; Mammalia; Artiodactyla; Bovidae.